AGAGUUUGAUCCUGGCUCAGGAUGAACGCUGGCGGCGUGCCUAAUACAUGCAAGUCGAGCGAACGGACGAGAAGCUUGCUUCUCUGAUGUUAGCGGCGGACGGGUGAGUAACACGUGGAUAACCUACCUAUAAGACUGGGAUAACUUCGGGAAACCGGAGCUAAUACCGGAUAAUAUUUUGAACCGCAUGGUUCAAAAGUGAAAGACGGUCUUGCUGUCACUUAUAGAUGGAUCCGCGCUGCAUUAGCUAGUUGGUAAGGUAACGGCUUACCAAGGCAACGAUGCAUAGCCGACCUGAGAGGGUGAUCGGCCACACUGGAACUGAGACACGGUCCAGACUCCUACGGGAGGCAGCAGUAGGGAAUCUUCCGCAAUGGGCGAAAGCCUGACGGAGCAACGCCGCGUGAGUGAUGAAGGUCUUCGGAUCGUAAAACUCUGUUAUUAGGGAAGAACAUAUGUGUAAGUAACUGUGCACAUCUUGACGGUACCUAAUCAGAAAGCCACGGCUAACUACGUGCCAGCAGCCGCGGUAAUACGUAGGUGGCAAGCGUUAUCCGGAAUUAUUGGGCGUAAAGCGCGCGUAGGCGGUUUUUUAAGUCUGAUGUGAAAGCCCACGGCUCAACCGUGGAGGGUCAUUGGAAACUGGAAAACUUGAGUGCAGAAGAGGAAAGUGGAAUUCCAUGUGUAGCGGUGAAAUGCGCAGAGAUAUGGAGGAACACCAGUGGCGAAGGCGACUUUCUGGUCUGUAACUGACGCUGAUGUGCGAAAGCGUGGGGAUCAAACAGGAUUAGAUACCCUGGUAGUCCACGCCGUAAACGAUGAGUGCUAAGUGUUAGGGGGUUUCCGCCCCUUAGUGCUGCAGCUAACGCAUUAAGCACUCCGCCUGGGGAGUACGACCGCAAGGUUGAAACUCAAAGGAAUUGACGGGGACCCGCACAAGCGGUGGAGCAUGUGGUUUAAUUCGAAGCAACGCGAAGAACCUUACCAAAUCUUGACAUCCUUUGACAACUCUAGAGAUAGAGCUUUCCCCUUCGGGGGACAAAGUGACAGGUGGUGCAUGGUUGUCGUCAGCUCGUGUCGUGAGAUGUUGGGUUAAGU
RNAcentral lists this ribosomal RNA (1098 nucleotides) under Staphylococcus aureus F92128. Its description in RNAcentral is "bacterial SSU rRNA". It matches the Rfam family "Bacterial small subunit ribosomal RNA", at positions 8 to 1085 of the family's 1533-position model. The record is from RNAcentral. Lineage: Bacteria; Bacillati; Bacillota; Bacilli; Caryophanales; Staphylococcaceae.